RNAcentral lists this ribosomal RNA (450 nucleotides) under uncultured bacterium. RNAcentral's name for it is "bacterial SSU rRNA". It matches the Rfam family "Bacterial small subunit ribosomal RNA", at positions 30 to 475 of the family's 1533-position model. The record is from RNAcentral.
AUUGAACGCUGGCGGAAUGCUUUACACAUGCAAGUCGAACGGUAACAGGUCUUCGGAUGCUGACGAGUGGCGAACGGGUGAGUAAUACAUCGGAACGUGCCCGAUCGUGGGGGAUAACGGAGCGAAAGCUUUGCUAAUACCGCAUACGAUCUACGGAUGAAAGCAGGGGACCGCAAGGCCUUGCGCGGACGGAGCGGCCGAUGGCAGAUUAGGUAGUUGGUGGGAUAAAAGCUUACCAAGCCGACGAUCUGUAGCUGGUCUGAGAGGACGACCAGCCACACUGGGACUGAGACACGGCCCAGACUCCUACGGGAGGCAGCAGUGGGGAAUUUUGGACAAUGGGCGAAAGCCUGAUCCAGCCAUGCCGCGUGCAGGAUGAAGGCCUUCGGGUUGUAAACUGCUUUUGUACGGAACGAAAAGACUCCUUCUAAUAAAGGGGGUUCAUGACGG